This 5138-nucleotide long non-coding RNA is filed under the name Homo sapiens (human). RNAcentral describes it as "HSALNT0129283". The record is from RNAcentral. Lineage: Eukaryota; Metazoa; Chordata; Mammalia; Primates; Hominidae.
UUCUGGUUGGGUUCUACAAAUGGUUGCACCUACAGGUGGCUGCUGAGUGCCUUUUGAACUUCAGAGGAAGGCUUGUGUGAGCAAGGCAGAGACCUUAUGUUGGAGAUGGAAUGCUGCAAAAUGCAUGGAACUGUCCACCACCACUGUGCUGAAAUCAAGUGGAUCAAGGAGAUGUGGCACGUUGCAUCAUGACCAUCUGCUGCAGAGAUGUCCACGCAGCUGAGUAGGAGUAGGAUUGAACUUUGGCCUCAGGCUGUGAUGCAUGCUGUUGGACUGAUCCCUUCUGCUGCUGCUACUCAGAUCCCCUGGCUGGACUUGCAGCUCCUGGGGGAACACAUGCCUCAUGUCCUGGAAAGAACACAGUUCUGGAGUCAGAGGCCAUCAUUUCAUCUGGGCUAACUGUGUCUUGGUCCCUGACUAAUAUUGAGGCAAUGAAUGCAGAGUAUAGCUCAGCCCCAUCCUGGUUGAGAAAUUUCAAACAUACCAGGAAAGUAAAAGAUACGAGAGCCUUAACAAGGUUGUAAAUAUACAUGAAGUCAUCCUCUGCCUUUCUUCUUUCCUUGAGGCUAUGAUCUUUGCUACACGGGCUACAAUCUGAGUGUGGAGUGCUAAUUGCCAAAUUGACUUUACUGAGAAACAAAACAGAAGAAAAUAGAACUUAAUUUUCAAAUGUCAGUUAAAAACCCAUAUUAAGUGCAAGCAAUAUAAAAGACAAAGAAAACAAAAAGGGAACAUCGAACCCCACUGAAACAUACUUGGCAGGGAAAAGCAUUGCCUCAACUUUUCCCUGCUCAGAUUUUAAGGCCUCUUCAAGAGGACUCUUGGAUGACUCUGAAAUUAAGGUACAGACCAAUUUAGCCAAUCCAAGGAAAGCAGAGAAUAAACAAUUGAAGUGAGAAGGUCCCGAGGUCCUAAGUAUGUCUGGCGAUCUCUUCUACCACUCCUUGACUCUUUGGAGCACACCCUGACAGUGACUCAUUUGCAACUGGUCCAUGUAGGGAUGCCGUAUACAGUUAAACAGUUUGUGCACUGCACAGCUCCAGGGCUGUAUUUACACAGACCACAAUGUGAUCGGCUAUCUAAUCCCUCACAUGCUUCCUCUGGGAGGUCUUUUCUGAUCCUCUCACAGUCCACGGGACUCUCCCUUCAGUGGACACUCAAAGAUGCUACCAGACGCGCCUCUGACCCCAGUCUCCAGAAAGGACCACGCCCUCCAGAAGAAUUCUCACUGGUGAAAUCUGAAGACCCUAGAUGAGCUGCCAAGGGUGAACCAAGAAGGGGGCUUUAACUCCUCAAGUAAAACCCAGUCCCCUCAGUGAUGUUGAACUACCCAUAGAAAAACCACAUCGAGGCCAGUUGUGGUGACUCAAGACUGUAAUCCCAGCAUUUUGGGAGGCUGAGGUGGGUGGAUCACUUGAGGUCAGGAGUUCGAGCCCAGCCUGGCCAACAUGGUGAAACCCUGUCUCUACUAAAAAUACAAAAAUUGGCCUGCCGUGGUGGCGUGUAUCUGUAGUCCCAGCUACUUGGGAGGCUGAGGCAGGAGAAUCACUUCAACCUGGGAGGCAGAGGGUGUAGUGAGCUGAGAUUGCACCACUGCACUCCAGCCUGGGCGAAAGAGUGAGACUCUGUCUCAAAAAAAAAAAAACAAGAAAAGAAAAACCACAUCGAGGUGGGCCAGGGAGGACCCAGCCAUUGCCACAGAGGUGUUCAAAUGCAACCUCCUCUUGCAUAUGAAGGGAGAUCAGCUGACAGUUUAGCUUGAAACUCUCAGGAUACCAGAAUUCCCUACUUAGGAGCUGGGGCCAGAGCCAGCCAUGUGCAUUUGUUCAGGCUUCAGACAUCCUUCCUUAGGAGCCAUCAGGAACUGGACUUAGUUGAGCUGCGACUAAAUUUCAUCUUGCUUCGAACAAGAGACUGCAACCUUCCCAUUAAUACCACUCAGGCCCGAGCCAGAAUCCCCCUGUAGCUAUGACCUGCUCACUUGAUUACCCACUCAGCCUGGUUGGUACAACACCCCACCCCCAUCACUGCUCCUGGCCCACCCUCUAGGACCAUAGACAGCCCAGGACAAAGCAGCUGUACUAAUAGUAUGAGACACCGCAUAUGUUACCUGUGAAAUCUAGUAUAUAUCACACUCCACCACCUCAGUCUGGUGGACAGAGGCCAGCUUGCUUUGAUCUUUCCAUCCCCAGGGGCUAGUGCAGUGAGGAACACAUAGUGGGAGUUCAAAAAGCAUUUGUUAAUACUGCCAUGCAUAUAAAACAAAGUUUAAAAUUUCCUAAAGUAAUAAAAGGAGCAUAGCUCUAGUAUCAUCUAUUUUUUAUUACGUUGUGUUUACACGCCUCUGGUUAGUAACCCAAACCUGUUUCCAUGGUGAAUGUGACAAGACUAUGUAAUUAUGGGUCUGUAACUUUUUCUUUUUCUCUUUCUUUGGAAAAAGCUAUGUGAUUGCAGGACUAUAACUGUAUCUUCCUUUGUAAACUAUUCCUAAAUGUUAUCUUGUAGCUAACCUGUCACAGCCAAGGGCCUCCUAGAGUAGGCUUCUCCUGCCAGAAAGUUGGCUAUUUCGUGCAAAGUUCUUAUAAAUGUUUAAGGAGAACUAAGGCAGAAAAAUUAAAGGCCAGAAUGAGAAAAAGAGAAAUAACAUUUUUGUGGAGCUAACUUAUGCCAGAAUCUAUAUGGCCUCAUUUAAUCCUCACAACCCUUAUUUCACAGAUGAGAAAACUAAGGCUCAGAGAGGUUGCCUGAAGAGACGCCCCCAUUGAAUCCCCUGCGUUCCAGACACACUCCUCCCUACUUUAUUUAUUUAUUUAUUUUGAGACGAAGUUUUGCUCUUGUUGCCCAGGCUGGAGUGCAAUGGUGUGAUCUCAGCUCACCACAACCUCCACCUCCCAGGUUCAAGCGAUUCUCCUGCCUCAGCCUCCUGAGUAGCUGGGUUUACAGGCAUGUGCCAUCACACCCAGCUAAUUUUGUAUUUUUAGUAGAGAUGGGUUUCUCCAUGUUGGUCAGGCUGGUCUUGAACUCCCGACCUCAGGUGAUCCACCCGCCUCGGCCUCCCAAACUGCUUUGAUUACAGGUGUGAGCCACCGCACCCAGCCUCUCCUCCCUACUUUAAUCGUGUAGCAGUAGCUCCUUGUGGCAAUCAGGGUCCUUUACCCUUGCUAGUGUAGUAAUUCCUUUCUUAGUUACCUCGUCCUUCAGUAUGAGGAUCCCAGAGUGAUCAGGUGGUAGUGGCCACUUCAAGUUCAACGAGUAAGUCCCAUGGCAUUCAUUCAUCCACUCCGCACUCCACCACGGAUACUAGCUGUGGGGAAAUAGCACCACAUGCCUUGUUUUGGCUCAAUGCAUUUCUAUAUCAUAGCGCAAAUCCAGCAGAGUGUUAUCUCUGAAAUGGAGCCUUACUGGGGAUGACACUGUAUUGGUCCGUUUUCACACUGCCAUAAAGAAUACUUGAGACUGGAUAAUUUAGAAACAAAAGAGGUUUAAUUGACUUACAGUUCUGCGUGGUUGGGGAAGCCUCAGGAAACUUACAAUCAUGGCGGAAGGUGAAGGGGAAGCAAGGCACGUCUUACAUGGCACCGAGACAGAGAGAGAGAGAGCGCACAGGGGAAACUGAAACUUUAAAACCAUCAGAUCUCAUGAGAACUCCCUCACUAUCAUGAGAACAGCAUGGCGGAAACCGCCCCCAUGAUUCAGUCACCUCCCACCAGCUCCCUCCCUGCAAUAUGGGUAUUACAAUUCAAGAUGAGAUUUGGGUGGGGACACAGAGCCAAAUCAUAUCAGACACUCCUUAAUAAGGUGUUCUAUUAAGGUGGUUGCUUCUGAAUAAUGGGGUACAUUGUCAGACCAGAGGAUUCUGGGUUAUGUGUCCAUUGUUGCACUCUCCCUGCCCUUUAUUUUAUUUUAUUUUAUUUUAUUUAUUUAUUUAUUUUUGAGAAAGAGCUUCACUCUGUUGCCCAGGCUGGAGUGCAGUGGCACAAUCUUGGCUCACUGCAACCUCCACCUCCCAGGUUCAAGUGAUUCUUGUGCAUCACCCUCCCAAGUAGCUGGGAUUACAUGUGCGCACCACCACACCUGGCUAAUUUUUGUAUUUUUAGUAGAGAUGGGGUUUUACCAUGUUGGCCAGGCUGGUCUCAAACUCCUGGCCUCAAGUGAUCUGCCCAUCUUGGACUCCCAAAGUGCUGGGAUUAUAGGCAUGAACCACAAUACCCAGCCUGUUGCACCCCUUUGUCAUAAAAAUGGGCCCUUUCUUCUGAGACAGUGUUGUGCUGUGUACCAUGCUAAGAGGCCAAGCAUCUUGUAGACCAAUAAUGGUAGCUCUUAUGGAGGCAUGGUGGGCUGGAAAAGAAAAUAUAACUGGAGUAAGUAUCAAUUUUGUUAAGGGACAAUUUCUACUUCCUCUGGCAUAAAAGAGUCUGAGAUAAUCAACCUGCCACAAAUGUCCUUGACGAACUUUGUGAUAUCAACGUUUCAAGGUCAGUUCUUGCUGUGGGUUAACCUGGGUGAGAGGGAACCCAUGUUGUUGGACCCAUACAUAGCUUCCAUCCCUGCCACCACAGGCACUCUGUUUGUGCAUUCAUUAUGCCACCACUGGAGUGGCUUAGGAGACAGGCUGGCUGACAUCCAUAGGAUAAGUCAUCCUGUCCAUCCACCUGGCUGUUGAGAGCCUUCUCUGCAAGGGAUGCUCCCUGUUGGGCAUCAAUGUGAGAUCCAAAGAUCUAGAUGCUUUUUACUUAUUCCCAGAAGUCCAUCCACAUGCCCUUUCCCCAGACAUCCUUGUCCCAUAUCUUCCAGUCUUACUCCUUUCAAGUUCCUGGCCAACCAGCCAAAGCAUUCAUUGCCGCCCCCAGAAUUCUUGUUAAUCCACACCUUAGGCUAGUUUUCCUCCCAUAAAAAAUGAAACAAUUAAAUUUACUACUGUUCUCUGCUUUACCUACCAGGAAAAUGUUCCUUUAACCACUGUACUUUAUAAAAUAAAUGUUUGGCCAAAACCAAUAAUUAAUGCCAACUCAUCUAUGAGAAAAUUUUCUCUCCCUUUAUUGGAUAUAGGAUGAAAGGGACUAGGACCCCUCUCCCCCACCAAUAAAGCCAGUGAUGUGAGUUGAGAGAGACAUACUGUUGCAACAAGGGUACUGAGU